UUUUUUUUUUGCUGUUUUACAUCCAUGCAGGCAAAAUACAGAUAUUUAUUCUCAGUAAUGCAUUCAUGCCUUAAUUGGUAAUGCAGUUACCAUACUGGUAAAUUUUUUAUUUUAUUUUUAUUUGUUUUAUAUCCCUGUAGGAAACAACUUGAAAGUGAGCUGAAAGAGGAGCAUGUACGACGAUCCAGUCUACAGAGAAGAGCGCAGGGGGGGACAUACACUGUGAAUACACAUGCAGAAGUGAAGACCUACCAGAAGCAGAUGGCUGAGUUAACAAAAAUGUUGCAGAUAGCCAAAGAAGAACAUCAGAGGUUAAAACAGGCUACUUCAUAUCCAGAUGAUUGCUUUCCCAACAGGUCAUCUGCUCAUUAUGAAGAGAGGCCAGAAUAAAUAAAAUAUCCAUGGAAGAAAGUUUUAACAGGCCUUUCCCAGAAAGAACCUCUUCAAUAUUUCAUGUUUUUUAUAAUAUGUUUUAACAUGGCAAGUGAAACACAACUGUUCAUGGCUAUCCCAAAGGGCAAAGAGAGAUGACACUUCCAGAGAAAGUGCUGAUGUACGGCUCGUUCUACUCCAGCACUCUAACAUGUUAACUAAUAAUGAUAUCUAUCUGCCAAGUAUAAAAUGAUGUUCAGAAGAUAUAAGAGAAAGCAACUGCACGUGGAAGUGAGAGAUGUAGAUUCUGUGGUGCUGUACCUUCCUUGUUUCAAGAAUGUUUUUUGUGUAGUUUUAACAGAGUUGGGACAGUUUGAUUUUUUUCUCUGUAAAAGUUCCUUGGUGGAACAGUAUUUUAGGAGAAGGGUGCUGUACCUGCAGUAUAUCUUAAAUACAAUCUCACAAUCCUUAAGAAAACUUAACUUCAUGAAAAUGCACUUUCACGAAAUACAAAUAAACCAGAAAAAAAAACCACAACACAAACCACGUUUAUGCAGGCGGGCAAGCUGCGCACCCCCCCCACACACACACCCUCGCUACUUUUAUAUUCUCACUCCAAAAUUGCGCUACAGUGGGGAAAAGGGAAAACUCCCUUAUCCCCGCUGUGCCACAAUCUAAGCAACAGCCCCCACUGUUGUUUGCUUAGUUGCCUUUUCACGAAAGUGCAUUUUCAUGAAAAUGCACUUUCACAAAAAGGAGUUUGCUUGUUUACGUUUCGUUGAAAUGUAAUUUUGAUGGGUCGAGGUAGACCCUCACAAACACACGUAUAGAUAGAUAUGUAGACCUAACUAUUUAUCUAUCUAUAGAUUUGUAUAUUUGUGUAUGUCUAUAUAUACACACACAAACAUGCGUGCACACACAGACACAUACAC
Molecule: long non-coding RNA, 1304 nt
Organism: Protopterus annectens (West African lungfish)
Lineage: Eukaryota; Metazoa; Chordata; Ceratodontiformes; Protopteridae
Exons: 4
Source: RefSeq, a predicted model, not a curated record